RNAcentral lists this ribosomal RNA (434 nucleotides) under uncultured Lachnospiraceae bacterium. RNAcentral describes it as "partial 16S ribosomal RNA". It matches the Rfam family "Bacterial small subunit ribosomal RNA", at positions 341 to 792 of the family's 1533-position model. Lineage: Bacteria; Bacillati; Bacillota; Clostridia; Lachnospirales; Lachnospiraceae. The record is from RNAcentral.
ACGGAAGGCAGCAGUGGGGAAUAUUGCACAAUGGGGGAAACCCUGAUGCAGCGACGCCGCGUGAGUGAAGAAGUAUUUCGGUAUGUAAAGCCCUAUCAGCAGGAAAGAAAAUGACGGUACCUGACUAAGAAGCCCCGGCUAACUACGUGCCAGCAGCCGCGGUAAUACGUAGGGGGCAAGCGUUAUCCGGAUUUACUGGGUGUAAAGGGAGCGUAGACGGCAUGGCAAGUCUGAAGUGAAAGCUCGGGGCUCAACCCCGGAACUGCUUUGGAAACUGUCAGGCUAGAGUACCGGAGGGGUAAGCGGAGUUCCUAGUGUAGCGGUGAAAUGCGUAGAUAUUAGGAGGAACACCAGUGGCGAAGGCGGCUUACUGGACGGUAACUGACGUUGAGGCUCGAAAGCGUGGGGAGCAAACAGGAUUAGAUACCCUGGUA